UGGGACUGAGACACUGCCCAGACACCUACGGGUGGCUGCAGUUAAGAAUAUUCCACAAUGCACGAAAGUGUGAUGGAGCGACGCCGCGUGAAUGAUGAAGCCCUUCGGGGUGUAAAGUUCUUUUAUUAAGGAAAAAUUUUUGAUGUUACUUAAUGAAUAAGGGGCUGCUAACUUCGUGCCAGCAGCAGCGGUAAUACGAAGGCCCCGAGCGUUAUCCGGAUUUACUGGGUGUAAAACGUCUGUAGAUGGUUUGAAAAGUUAAAUGUAAAAUCUUUUAGCUUAACUAAAAACUUGCAUUUAAUACUGUCAUAACUAGAGGACGGGGGAAGUAAGUGGAAUUCCCGGUGUAGUUGUAAUAAGCGUUAAUAUCGGGAAGAACACCAAAAGUGAAAACAGCUUACUAAAACGUUCCUGACAUUGAGAGACGAAAGCGUGGGGAGCGAUACGGAUUAGAUACCCGUGUAGUCCACGCCCUAAACGAUGAGUGCUAAGCAUUGGAAGUAUCGACCCUUUCAGUGCUGUUAUAUUCAAGCUAACGCCUUAAGCACUCUACCUGGGGAGUACGACCGCAAGGUUAAAACUCAAAGGAAUUGACGGGGACCCGCACAAGCGGUGGAGCAUGUGGUUUAAUUCGACAAUAAACGGAGAACCUUACCAAGGCUUGACAUUUGCAGAAUCCUUUGGAAACAGAGGAGUGCUCGCAAGAGAGCUGUAAAACAGGUGCUGCAUGGUUGUCGUCAGCUCGUGCUGUGAAGUGUAUGGUUAAGUCCAAUAACGAGCGCAACCCCUAUUGUAAGUUACUAUGUCUUACGAAACUGACCACUUCAAGUGGUAGGAAGGUGGGGAUGACGUCAAAUCAGCACGGCCCUUACGCCUUGGGCCACACACGUGCUACAAUGGGUAAGAACAAAGGGUAGCUAAGUCGCAAGAUGGAGCUAAUCCCAGCAAAAUUACCCUCAGUUCAGAUUGAGGUCUGCAACUCGACCUCAUGAAGUCGGAAUCGCUAGUAAUCGUGGGUCAGCACACCACGGUGAAUACGUUCUCGGGUCUUGUACACACCGCCCGUCACGUCAAGAGAGCUGGUAAUACCCGAACAUCGAUGUUAAAUCAAUGGAAGGUAGGAUCAGUAAUAGGGAUGAAGUCGUAACAAGGCAGGGGUAGCGGAAGCUGUUCCUG
RNAcentral lists this ribosomal RNA (1176 nucleotides) under Bacteroidetes bacterium ADurb.BinA104. RNAcentral describes it as "bacterial SSU rRNA". It matches the Rfam family "Bacterial small subunit ribosomal RNA", at positions 314 to 1520 of the family's 1533-position model. The record is from RNAcentral. Lineage: Bacteria; Pseudomonadati; Bacteroidota.